Molecule: long non-coding RNA, 233 nt
Organism: Neopsephotus bourkii (Bourke's parrot)
Lineage: Eukaryota; Metazoa; Chordata; Aves; Psittaciformes; Psittacidae
Exons: 2
Source: RefSeq, a predicted model, not a curated record
CCCCAGGGGACUUCAGUGACCCUUCUUUCAAGGAUGGAUGGAGCUAUGUCAUGUAUCUUGUGACUGAGGACCUGAGCAAACAUAAUUUCUGUGGUGCAUGCUUUGGGCUGCAUGUGCUGUGAAUGCUCAUAAGAGCAAUUGGAGAAGACCAAAGUAGUAAUUCAUAAAAAGCAUGAUAAGCUCUUGGUCUUGGUUUAAAAUAAGUAAGUCUUACCAAUGCAUUUGAAUUUGAA